Molecule: ribosomal RNA, 460 nt
Filed under: uncultured bacterium
Lineage: Bacteria
Description: partial 16S ribosomal RNA
Rfam family: Bacterial small subunit ribosomal RNA
Source: RNAcentral
CCUACGGGGGGCAGCAGUGAGGAAUAUUGGUCAAUGGACGAGAGUCUGAACCAGCCAAGUCGCGUGAAGGAUGACUGCCCUAUGGGUUGUAAACUUCUUUUAUAUGGGAAUAAAACGUUCCACGUGUGGGAUUUUGUAUGUACCAUAUGAAUAAGGCUCGGCUAAAUCCGUGCCAGCAGCCGCGGUAAUACGGAGGAUCCGAGCGUUAUCCGGAUUUAUUGGGUUUAAAGGGAGCGUUGGUGGAUUUGUAAGUCAGUUGUGAAAGUUUGCGGCUCAACCGUAAAAUUGCAGUUGAAACUGGCAGUCUUGAGUACAGUAGAGGUGUGCGGAAUUCGUGGUGUAGCGGUGAAAUGCUUAGAUAUCACGAAGAACUCCGAUUGCGAAGGCAGUUCACUGGACUGCAACUGACACUGAGGCUCGAAAGUGUGGGUAUCAAACAGGAUUAGAUACCCGUGUAGUC